UAGGGAAUCUUCGGCAAUGGACGAAAGUCUGACCGAGCAACGCCGCGUGAGUGAAGAAGGUUUUCGGAUCGUAAAACUCUGUUGUUAGAGAAGAACAAGGACGUUAGUAACUGAACGUCCCCUGACGGUAUCUAACCAGAAAGCCACGGCUAACUACGUGCCAGCAGCCGCGGUAAUACGUAGGUGGCAAGCGUUGUCCGGAUUUAUUGGGCGUAAAGCGAGCGCAGGCGGUUUCUUAAGUCUGAUGUGAAAGCCCCCGGCUCAACCGGGGAGGGUCGUUGGAAACUGGGGGACUUGAGUGCAGAAGAGGAGAGUGGAAUUCCAUGUGUAGCGGUGAAAUGCGUAGAUAUAUGGAGGAACACCAGUGGCGAAGGCGGCUCUCUGGUCUGAAGCUGACGCUGAGGCUCGAAAGCGUGGGGAGCAAACAGG
Molecule: ribosomal RNA, 429 nt
Filed under: Gemmatimonadota bacterium
Lineage: Bacteria; Pseudomonadati; Gemmatimonadota
Description: Gemmatimonadetes bacterium partial 16S ribosomal RNA
Rfam family: Bacterial small subunit ribosomal RNA
Source: RNAcentral